GAAGGGGAACAGAUGGUCGCUCCUCCUGAUAUCGCGCGGAGCGGGAGAUCAGGAGGGGAGGAAAGUCCGAGCUCCACAGGGCAGGGUGGUCCGUAACACGGACUGCCCCCUGUGAAAUAGGUGCAAGCAGCUAAUUUAUGUGUUGGGAUGAUUAAGCUGAUCCUUCCCGUUGCAGAGUUAGCAAUGCCCUUAUUUCAUGGGGGAAAAGGAAAGUGCCACAGAAAACAUACCGCCCCGUGAAGUAGGCGUAGCCGCCACUUCACAGGGUAAGGGUGAAAAGGUGAGGUAAGAGCUUACCAGUACCCUGAGAGAUUGGGGUAGCUAGGCAAACCCCAUCCGGAGCAAGACCGAAUAGGUUCCGUUUCCCCCCGUGGAAUGGCGGUUUCGCCUAUUCCACAGGGGGAUAAGAAUUGCCCAUUCAAAUUUGUCUCGAGGCAAUUGCAGCGAGACAAAGGCGGGACGGGUUAGGUCGCUUGAGACCCUGGGUAAUCAGGGCCCUAGAUAAAUGGCCAUCCUCCUGAUUCCGCUGAAAAGCAGGGUCGGGAUGACAGAACUCGGCUUAUGGUCCCCUUCGAAU
RNAcentral lists this RNase P RNA (577 nucleotides) under Deltaproteobacteria bacterium RBG_16_47_11. RNAcentral describes it as "RNase P RNA component class A". It matches the Rfam family "Bacterial RNase P class A". Rfam says of the family: Ribonuclease P (RNase P) is a ubiquitous endoribonuclease, found in archaea, bacteria and eukarya as well as chloroplasts and mitochondria. Its best characterised activity is the generation of mature 5'-ends of tRNAs by cleaving the 5'-leader elements of precursor-tRNAs. Cellular RNase Ps are ribonucleoproteins. The record is from RNAcentral. Lineage: Bacteria; Deltaproteobacteria.